CCUACGGGGGGCAGCAGUGGGGAAUAUUGGACAAUGGGCGAAAGCCUGAUCCAGCCAUGCCGCGUGUGUGAAGAAGGCCUUCGGGUUGUAAAGCACUUUCAGUGGGGAAGAAAGCCUUGGGGCUAAUACCCUCGAGGAAGGACAUCACCCACAGAAGAAGCACCGGCUAACUCCGUGCCAGCAGCCGCGGUAAUACGGAGGGUGCGAGCGUUAAUCGGAAUUACUGGGCGUAAAGCGCGCGUAGGCGGUCUGAUAAGCCGGUUGUGAAAGCCCCGGGCUCAACCUGGGAACGGCAUCCGGAACUGUCAGGCUAGAGUGCAGGAGAGGAAGGUAGAAUUCCCGGUGUAGCGGUGAAAUUCGUAGAGAUCGGGAGGAAUACCAGUGGCGAAGGCGGCCUUCUGGACUGACACUGACGCUGAGGUGCGAAAGCGUGGGUAGCAAACAGGAUUAGAUACCCUUGUAGUC
This 465-nucleotide ribosomal RNA is filed under the name Vreelandella stevensii. RNAcentral describes it as "partial 16S ribosomal RNA". It matches the Rfam family "Bacterial small subunit ribosomal RNA", at positions 338 to 795 of the family's 1533-position model. Lineage: Bacteria; Pseudomonadati; Pseudomonadota; Gammaproteobacteria; Oceanospirillales; Halomonadaceae. The record is from RNAcentral.